GCCUCGUGAAUUCAUCUCCGGGGGUAGAGCACUGUUUCGGCCAGGGGGCCAUCCCGGCUUACCAACCCGAUGCAAACUGCGAAUACCGGAGAAUGUUAUCACGGGAGACACACGGCGGGUGCUAACGUCCGUCGUGAAGAGGGAAACAACCCAGACCGCCAGCUAAGGUCCCAAAGUCAUGGUUAAGUGGGAAACGAUGUGGGAAGGCCCAGACAGCCAGGAUGUUGGCUUAGAAGCAGCCAUCAUUUAAAGAAAGCGUAAUAGCUCACUGGUCGAGUCGGCCUGCGCGGAAGAUGUAACGGGGCUAAACCAU
This 313-nucleotide ribosomal RNA is filed under the name Salmonella enterica subsp. arizonae. RNAcentral describes it as "partial 23S ribosomal RNA". It matches the Rfam family "Bacterial large subunit ribosomal RNA", at positions 879 to 1190 of the family's 2925-position model. Lineage: Bacteria; Pseudomonadati; Pseudomonadota; Gammaproteobacteria; Enterobacterales; Enterobacteriaceae. The record is from RNAcentral.